Molecule: ribosomal RNA, 276 nt
Filed under: uncultured prokaryote
Description: partial 16S ribosomal RNA
Rfam family: Bacterial small subunit ribosomal RNA
Source: RNAcentral
UACGUAGGGGGCGAGCGUUGUCCGGAUUUACUGGGCGUAAAGGGUGAGUAGUCGGUUAUAUAUGUCAGGUGUAAAAAGCUAUGGCUUAACCAUAGUAAGCACUUGAAACUGUAUGACUUGAGUGCAGGAGAGGUAAGCGGAAUUCCUAGUGUAGCGGUGAAAUGCGUAGAUAUUAGGAGGAACACCGGUGGCGAAGGCGGCUUACUGGACUGUAACUGACGCUGAGUCACGAAAGCGUGGGUAGCAAACAGGAUUAGAUACCCCCGUAGUCCCUGA